This 925-nucleotide long non-coding RNA is filed under the name Nicotiana benthamiana. Its description in RNAcentral is "long non-coding RNA (NBEN_LNC018806)". Lineage: Eukaryota; Viridiplantae; Streptophyta; Magnoliopsida; Solanales; Solanaceae. The record is from RNAcentral.
CGUAGUGAUGUGCAAUGCCUUGUUGUGACUAAGCCCCUCUGGUGGUAACUCGUCCUCGUGGAAGGUAAUCUUGUGGCUUUCCAGUACCUGCCCCACCAUAUUUGCCAUUUUGCCUCCUAUUAUGUUGCUGGGAACAUAAGCUUCACUUAGUAUUUUCAUUAUGGCAUUUUUAUGUGCCUCAGAGCUUUGCAGAAGAGCCAUCAUAGAAAUCUAUGCUGACGUUUUGUUCAGCUGCUCAAUAACCAAGUACUCUUUGGCAUGUAUCUUCCUCUAAAGGUCAUCGGGUCCAGUUUCAAUAGUCCGCCCAGAGGCUUUCUUGCUGGACUCAGCUAAAUGUUAUGGGGUGUACACCCUGCAUGUCCUAGUCAUGCUUUGUGCAGUGACUGCUUGCCCAGUAUAUGUGUUUCCCUUCCUUCUAGCCUCAGCUGUGUAAUCCCAAAGUAUGACAUUUGGCUUGAACGAGGUCUCUUCUGUCAUGGAGAUAGAAGUUGUCAUCCUGGGAGGUAACAUGUUCCUUUGGAAUCCCGAACUCAACCUUAAUCGGCUUUGGAACCUUUGCAGGAGGUGCUUCAAACUCGAGUGGUACAUACACAUUUAUCACAUCACCCUCAAAGGGCUGAAUCUGAAAAACAAUGGGAUUGAGGGUAACUAUUGGUUUUUAGGCUCAACUCCUUCAACUAUCAAACCGAUUGACCCCUUGGGGUCCCAAUCGUAUUCAAUCUCGAUCAUAUGGAUGCCUCCACCCUUGUGGUCAGGCAGAGGGUUGUUGAAGAAAUUUGGAGUGGGAUCCUUGCUAUAAUGACCUUGUUGUCAAUCAGAUUCUGAAUCUUGUCUUUCAACGAGCGACACUCGUCGAUGGUAUUGCCUUUCAUCCCAGAAUGGUAUGCGCAAGUCUUGUUUGGGUUGAUCCAUUGAGAGGGAUUUU